RNAcentral lists this ribosomal RNA (429 nucleotides) under uncultured archaeon. RNAcentral describes it as "bacterial SSU rRNA". It matches the Rfam family "Archaeal small subunit ribosomal RNA", at positions 474 to 903 of the family's 1478-position model. The record is from RNAcentral.
UACCAGCUCUCCGAGUGGUGUGGAUGUUUAUUGGGCCUGAAGCAUCCGUAGCUGGCUGGACAAGUCCCCUGUUAAAUCCACCGAUUUAAUCGUUGGUGUGCGGGGGAUACUGUUCGGCUAGGGGACGGGAGAGGCCGACGGUAUUUCCGGGGUAGGGGUGAAAUCCUAUAAUCCCGGGAAGACCACCAGUGGCGAAGGCUGUCGGCUAGAACGCGCCCGACGGUGAGGGAUGAAAGCUGGGGGAGCGAACCGGAUUAGAUACCCGGGUAGUCCCAGCUGUAAACGAUGCAGGCUAGGUGUUUGGGCGGCCACGUGCCGCUCUAGUGCCGCAGGGAAGUCGUUAAGCCUGCCGCCUGGGGAGUACGGCCGCAAGGCUGAAACUUAAAGGAAUUGGCGGGGGAGCACCACAAGGGGUGAAGCUUGCGGUUU